Long non-coding RNA from Astyanax mexicanus (Mexican tetra), 2835 nucleotides. RefSeq lists it as uncharacterized. Lineage: Eukaryota; Metazoa; Chordata; Actinopteri; Characiformes; Acestrorhamphidae. The record is from RefSeq and is a predicted model, not a curated record. The transcript has 4 exons.
CAAUUGAAAGAAAAUAUUUAAAAUUAAUUAAAUAAUUAGCAAAAAUAUAAUAAUAUUAUAAUUAUAAUUAAAUAUUAUAAUAUACAUAAAGAGGGAUCUACUGGUGUGAGUAGCUUUUGUAUUUCUAAGGAACUUUAGAUUCUUUGUGCCGUGGAUUAAAAAUAAAAUCUGUAUGCUGGAUUAUAAAAGCUUGAUUGAAGCCAGAGCAGAUGAUACAUAAUCCGCAGAUACGUUAGGGACAUUUGUCCUCUAAAAAUAAUGUGUUUAAGACUCUGUGUCCUUUACAUGCAUUAAAUAAAGGCUUGAUGGUAAAUAUAUAUGUGGUGGAACCUGCAGUAAUGAGGCCACCGGUGCAGAUGCUGUGAUCACAGCUGUUCCAAACACACCCAGAUGUGUGCUGACCUGAAAUGCUUAGGUUUCAGUUCACAACCAUCCAACAGAUGGUGAAUUCUGCUGCCUGAAAAAUGUAGGGUUGAUGUAAAUGUUAUUAAUUAUAUAUGCAAAACUGAGAAUUAUGUUAAAGCUGAACUGCUUCUUAAAUGUCUAAAAUGUUCACACAUGGUGAUUUUAUUGAUUUUUAAUUGUUUAAAGUUAGGGCUGGAAGAUGAAUGGUGUUUUUAUCGUUCUUGUGAGUUUUCAUGCUGAGCAUGCAGAGCUGCAGUAACAUUGUGAAUAACAUCAAACUCACACUGCAUUACCCACAUACAGCCACAGAGGGAUCGAUUUUUACACCGUUAUCCAGCUCAAAGUAGCUCCACACCUCCUUGCUAGAAUCUGGAGAGCCCUGACAUUUAAAACGAGGCAUUAAUAACUUAAAAAGUGCACAAGAAGCUUAUUAAAAAACACUGUUUACAUCCUAUAAUGCUAGCUUCAGCUCCGAGCGCCGCCAUUGCUGAAGUGAAGUAACAGACAUAUAUAAACAUAGACUACUGGCGCCGGCUGUUACGCUAUGCACAGUCUAUGUAUAUACGUGUCUAUGACUUUUCAAUAUAAAUAUGGCAGCACACCGAGCUGAAGCUAGCGUUAUAGGAUGUUAAUAGUGGUUGUUAAUAAGCUUCUUGUGCACUUUUUAAGUUAGCGAGGAUGAGGGAGGCAAAAUGAGGCGGUGCAAGGGAGACUGAAGUAGAGUGAGGAAAAGCUAGGUUAAUUGAGGUUAAGUGGGGCAUAAUUUGGUAGAGUGAGGCAGAGCUAGGUACACUGAGGCAGCGAGGUACAUCUUGAUAGUGCGAGACAGAGCAAGGUAGAGAGAGCUAGGCUGAGUGAGGCAGCGAGGGAUAUAUUAGUAGAGUAAGGUAGAAGGAAGCAAUCUGAGGCAGAGCUGGGUAGAAUGAGGUGAAGUGAGCGAGGUAGGGUGAGGGAGUGAUGUAAAUCAAGUGAUGUACAGCGAGGCAGAGCUAGGUAGAGCAAGGCAGAGCUAGGUAGAGUGAGUGAGGCAGCGGGGUAGAUAUUGGUAGAGUGAGGCAGAGCUAGGUAGAGUAAGUGGGGUGAAUCCUUGGUAGAGUGAGACAGAGCUAGGUAGAGUGAGUGAGGCAGCAGGGUAGAUCUUGGUAGAGUGAGGCAGAGCUAGGUAGAGUGAGUGAGGCAGCGGGGUAGAUCUUGGUAGAGUGAGACACAGCUAGGUAGAGUGAGUGAGGCAGCGGGGUAGAUCUUGGUAGAGUGAGACACAGCUAGGUAGAGUGAGUGAGGCAGUGGGGUGAAUCCUUGGUAGAGUGAGGCAGAGCUAGGUAGAGUGAGUGAGGCAGCAGGGUAGAUCUUGGUAGAGUGAGGCAGAGCUAGGUAGAGUGAGUGAGGCAGCAGGGUAGAUCUUGGUAGAGUGAGGCAGAGCUAGGUAGAGUAAGUGAGGCAGCGGGGUAGAUCUUGGUAGAGUGAGGCAGAGCUAGGUAGAGUAAGUGAGGCAGCGGGGUAGAUCUUGGUAGAGUGAGGCAGAGCUAGGUGAAGUGAGUGAGGCAGCGGGGUAGAUCUUGGUAGAGUGAGGCAGAGCUAGGUGAAGUGAGUGAGGCAGCGGGGUAGAUCUUGGUAGAGUGAGGCAGAGCUAGGUGAAGUGAGUGAGGCAGCGGGGUAGAUCUUGGUAGAGUGAGGCAGAGCUAGGUGAAGUGAGUGAGGCAGCGGGGUAGAUCUUGGUAGAGUGAGGCAGAGCUAGGUGAAGUGAGUGAGGCAGCGGGGUAGAUCUUGGUAGAGUGAGGCAGAGCUAGGUAGAGUAAGUGAGGCAGCGGGGUAGAUCUUGGUAGAGUGAGACAGAGCUAGGUAGAGUGAGUGAGGCAGUGUGGUAGAUCUUGGUAGAGUGAGGCAGAGCUAGGUAGAGUGAGUGAGGCAGUGUGGUAGAUCUUGGUAGAGUGAGCUAGAGCUAGGUGAAGUGAGUGAGGCAGUGGGGUGAAUCCUUGGAAGAGUGAGGCAGAGCUAGGUAGAGUGAGUGAGGCAGUGGGGUGAAUCCUUGGAAGAGUGAGGCAGAGCUAGGUAGAGUGAGUGAGGCAGCGGGGUAGAGCGAGGCAGAUCUUGGUAAAGCGAGGUAGAGGGAAGCGAAGUGAGGUAGAGCAAGGUAGAACGAGGUGAAGUGAUCCAGGUAGAGUGAAGGAGUGAAGUAAAUUAAGUGAUGUAUAGUGAGGUAGAGCUAGGUAGAGGGAGUCGAGGUGAGGUAGAGGUCCACAGUGAACGCUCACACCAAACUACUUCUUAACCAGGGAAAAAUUAUAAUAAUUGCACCUAAAACUGAAGUGCUAAAAAGCUUUAUAGAAUCUUAAAUCAAUGUUAAAUUAAAGAAAUAAUUUAGAAUAUAUUUUACAUUACUUUAUAUUUACUUCAGAUUUUGUGUAGAAUAAAGUUCCCCCUCUGUUUGGU